GGAGAGAUUGCCGAGCGAUCCAUGGCGCUGGUUUAAGGCACCAGUCCCUUCGGGGGCGUGGGUUCGAAUCCCACUCUCUUCA
RNAcentral lists this transfer RNA (82 nucleotides) under Caenorhabditis remanei. Its description in RNAcentral is "tRNA-Leu (AAG) (tRNA-Leu-AAG-5-1)". It matches the Rfam family "tRNA". Rfam says of the family: Transfer RNA (tRNA) molecules are approximately 80 nucleotides in length. Their secondary structure includes four short double-helical elements and three loops (D, anti-codon, and T loops). Further hydrogen bonds mediate the characteristic L-shaped molecular structure. tRNAs have two regions of fundamental functional importance: the anti-codon, which is responsible for specific mRNA codon recognition, and the 3' end, to which the tRNAs corresponding amino acid is attached (by aminoacyl-tRNA synthetases). tRNAs cope with the degeneracy of the genetic code in two manners: having more than one tRNA (with a specific anti-codon) for a particular amino acid; and 'wobble' base-pairing, i.e. permitting non-standard base-pairing at the 3rd anti-codon position. Lineage: Eukaryota; Metazoa; Nematoda; Chromadorea; Rhabditida; Rhabditidae. The record is from Rfam by way of RNAcentral.